UGCUGUAUGUUCAAGAAAGUGAAGAAUAAAUUUUCGCAGUAUGUUUUUUUUUGCUCUCUCACGGAACCAAUACAAGCUGGAUUUUCAGAUUUUCCUACCUGCAUACCUAGGCAAAGUCCUGUCUUCUGGAAAAACUACAAAUCAGCGGUUGGAUGCUAAGUAAGAAUCAAAUAAUCCAGCUCCAUUUGAACUAUACUGAAUGGAUAUGAGAGUUUACACAAAGACAACGGGAGAAGAGAAGAAAAAUAAAACCAUAUAAAUGCUUGCAGGGAGCUUUAUGCAUUGUAUAAAGUUUUAACCUACACAA
Hyaena hyaena (striped hyena) is the source of this 307-nucleotide long non-coding RNA. RefSeq lists it as uncharacterized. The transcript is spliced from 3 exons. Lineage: Eukaryota; Metazoa; Chordata; Mammalia; Carnivora; Hyaenidae. The record is from RefSeq and is a predicted model, not a curated record.